RNAcentral lists this long non-coding RNA (414 nucleotides) under Hordeum vulgare. RNAcentral describes it as "long non-coding RNA (HVUL_LNC013627)". The record is from RNAcentral. Lineage: Eukaryota; Viridiplantae; Streptophyta; Magnoliopsida; Poales; Poaceae.
CACAAAUCAGAGGCUCCAAAUCUUUGUCACAGCGCGGCAAGACUGAUGGCAGUGGUGGCCGAUGAGUGUUUGCAUCGGACAGGAGACAAGGACCGGCGGCUAAAGCAAGCGAUCAAGUCGAGAGUGAUAGUGUGGUCCUGAGAUUUGUGAAGCUGUUUUUUUUUCCUCUCUUAGAAAACCAGUUUUUUUUGUCCAGCCAAUGAGUGGGCCAGGCCAAGCGAAUGUUGGCCAUUUGUUUUUCUUUCUUUUUCUUUUUUCUUACUUUUUUCAUGUUUAUUUUCGUUUUCUUAGGUAUUAUUUUACCUUGUAUUCCUACUUUUAUUUUUUUAUAUAAUUGUUUUUAAGAAGAAAUAGUACGAACAUACUCCCUCUGUAAACUAUACGAUCAACUUUCUAAUUUUGCAUAUAAUAGCC